AGAGUCCACAUAUGUUCGGGGGAGGGACCCCAGAAGGCGGCUGACAGUAUUCCUUUAGCCAGAAAUCCCUUCAGGGAAGAGAAAGGUGCUCCCCUUUGCCUGCUUUUAUACUACAGACUGUUUCCAACUCCAGCUAGAAGUGACUAUUGCCGAUUAUGCUAAUCAGUGGCGACAAGCUCCCUUUGACUGCUCACUUCUCCAUAUUUUCCAGAAAAUAUUUCAAGCAGAAUAUACUUAUUUUCCAGUUUUGAAAACAACUAGAUUGCCCAUCUCCAUUUCUCUCUAUCAUCUACUGUAUUAUUCUAUGGACAACUGCCACCCUAAUAAGCUCAAAGGAAACCAUGAGAGACUGUCUAACUAGACUUUUUGCUUGAUUUCCUGGACCCAAGAGCAGGAGUGAGGAGCUUUCUCCUGGUCAAGAAGGGAAGCCAGAAGUCAAGGCCACAGAAGACACAGGAAACAUCAUUUCCAAAGUGGGAGACAAAGCUGUUAACAGGAAAUUAUUUGUAAAGUCAAGAGCCAAGCAAAACAGAAAAAGGACAAGAAAUCUAUCACCUGUGGGUAUGAAUGGUUCUAGGGAAGUCUGUUGACAAUUGGAGGGUCUCAAAGGCGCUUUAUGGUACUUAUUUUAUGACCCUGAGUCUGGAGUCUGAUGAAUUAAAGAGGAAAUUCUGCUCUGGGCAACAUUUAAGAGAUAGUAUCUCCAGGCAGUAACUUUCGUAUUAACUCUCAUAAGAUUGAUGCCAUUCUGUCAUCUAAAGUGUGGACAAAAGUAGCAUUAAAGCAAAAUGAAAGGAU
RNAcentral lists this long non-coding RNA (798 nucleotides) under Homo sapiens (human). RNAcentral describes it as "MIR4307 host gene". Lineage: Eukaryota; Metazoa; Chordata; Mammalia; Primates; Hominidae. The record is from RNAcentral.